RNAcentral lists this transfer RNA (72 nucleotides) under Lusitaniella coriacea LEGE 07167. Its description in RNAcentral is "tRNA-Thr". It matches the Rfam family "tRNA". Rfam says of the family: Transfer RNA (tRNA) molecules are approximately 80 nucleotides in length. RNAcentral also lists the same sequence under 1 other name. The record is from RNAcentral. Lineage: Bacteria; Bacillati; Cyanobacteriota; Cyanophyceae; Spirulinales; Lusitaniellaceae.
GCAGGUGUGAUGUAAUCGGCAACAUGAGGUUUUCGUACAGCCUUCUUACGGGUUCAAUUCCUGUCGCCUGCU